This is a long non-coding RNA of Lolium rigidum, 866 nucleotides long. RefSeq lists it as uncharacterized. The transcript has 4 exons. Lineage: Eukaryota; Viridiplantae; Streptophyta; Magnoliopsida; Poales; Poaceae. The record is from RefSeq and is a predicted model, not a curated record.
CGAGGGGUGGGGAAAGGAUUCCGCGUCUCGCCGUCUCGCUCUCGCGACUCGGAGGCGGCGACACUGGGAGCGACAGCUCCGCUCCCGACGCCUCCCCACCUCCGGCGACUGGAGCACCUCCGGCGACCGCAGUGGAUCUCUUCCUGAGCGCAUCGUCCAAGCCCCUCCCCGUCGUUCCUCUCCUCUGCCACCUGUCCCCUCUCUGGUGGUUGUCUUUCUCCUCACAAGAUCUGCUCAGGCGUACAUCUCCAGUUCACUCCGGCGAAGACGACGGCCGGCGGUCGUGGUUCUCUUUGUCCUCCGUCAACGUAGGCCAUUGUUGCUAAUAACCUCUUCACUGGUCCAAAAGACAACCUGAGAAGUGGAUAGGUCGCCCGAGAUUUGAGGUCAUCCGUGUCAAGUCUGAACUUGCUCUGUGGUUGGUCUCCUUUUUCUGCAUCAAUUGUUUUGGCAGCUGAUAGUAUUCGCAGACAUGGAUGAUCCACCAAGGGAGGAGUAGAAGAAGGCAAUGCAAAAAAAAGCUCAUGGAGAUGUCGCCAACGAGAUAAAAAUUGGAUUUCAUGUUACAAACUUCUAUGCUACUCAAGUUUAAUUGAUGUUAUCUGGUUUGGCGCAGUUCAGAUAAUUGACAUGUAUUAAUUAUUUGCUGCAAGAUGUUUCCUUUUGUAAGAUUUGCUGCAAGACUUUCUACCUUCUAAUUAAUUCUGCCUGGAGAUGUAAUUAUUGAUGUAUGCUUGAUGCCUAAUUUUCUUUUCUUUUCUGAACAUAUCAUUAUUUCCAUGCUGUCUACUAUGAUAUCGUGUUGGUUAUUUACAAUUAUAUUUAUGAUUGGUGUAACAUUAUUCACCCGGAGAUGUAAAGAUUGG